RNAcentral lists this ribosomal RNA (911 nucleotides) under Bacillus pumilus. RNAcentral's name for it is "bacterial SSU rRNA". It matches the Rfam family "Bacterial small subunit ribosomal RNA", at positions 1 to 895 of the family's 1533-position model. Lineage: Bacteria; Bacillati; Bacillota; Bacilli; Caryophanales; Bacillaceae. The record is from RNAcentral.
CCUCGGAGAGUUUGAUCCUGGCUCAGGACGAACGCUGGCGGCGUGCCUAAUACAUGCAAGUCGAGCGAACAGAAGGGAGCUUGCUCCCGGAUGUUAGCGGCGGACGGGUGAGUAACACGUGGGUAACCUGCCUGUAAGACUGGGAUAACUCCGGGAAACCGGAGCUAAUACCGGAUAGUUCCUUGAACCGCAUGGUUCAAGGAUGAAAGACGGUUUCGGCUGUCACUUACAGAUGGACCCGCGGCGCAUUAGCUAGUUGGUGGGGUAAUGGCUCACCAAGGCGACGAUGCGUAGCCGACCUGAGAGGGUGAUCGGCCACACUGGGACUGAGACACGGCCCAGACUCCUACGGGAGGCAGCAGUAGGGAAUCUUCCGCAAUGGACGAAAGUCUGACGGAGCAACGCCGCGUGAGUGAUGAAGGUUUUCGGAUCGUAAAGCUCUGUUGUUAGGGAAGAACAAGUGCGAGAGUAACUGCUCGCACCUUGACGGUACCUAACCAGAAAGCCACGGCUAACUACGUGCCAGCAGCCGCGGUAAUACGUAGGUGGCAAGCGUUGUCCGGAAUUAUUGGGCGUAAAGGGCUCGCAGGCGGUUUCUUAAGUCUGAUGUGAAAGCCCCCGGCUCAACCGGGGAGGGUCAUUGGAAACUGGGAAACUUGAGUGCAGAAGAGGAGAGUGGAAUUCCACGUGUAGCGGUGAAAUGCGUAGAGAUGUGGAGGAACACCAGUGGCGAAGGCGACUCUCUGGUCUGUAACUGACGCUGAGGAGCGAAAGCGUGGGGAGCGAACAGGAUUAGAUACCCUGGUAGUCCACGCCGUAAACGAUGAGUGCUAAGUGUUAGGGGGUUUCCGCCCCUUAGUGCUGCAGCUAACGCAUUAAGCACUCCGCCUGGGGAGUACGGUCGCAAGACU